This 450-nucleotide ribosomal RNA is filed under the name uncultured Sphingobacteriales bacterium. RNAcentral describes it as "bacterial SSU rRNA". It matches the Rfam family "Bacterial small subunit ribosomal RNA", at positions 930 to 1382 of the family's 1533-position model. Lineage: Bacteria; Pseudomonadati; Bacteroidota; Sphingobacteriia; Sphingobacteriales. The record is from RNAcentral.
CGGAGGAGCAUGUGGUUAAUUCGAUGAUACGCGAGGAACUUACCUGGGCUCGAACGUAAGAUGACUGUAGGUGAAAGCUUACAUCUCUUCGGAGCAUUUUACGAGGUGCUGCAUGGUUGUCGUCAGCUCGUGCCGUGAGGUGUCGGGUUAAGUCCCAUAACGAGCGCAACCCCUACCUUUAGUUGCCAUCAGGUUAAGCUGGGGACUCUAAAGGAACUGCCUACGCAAGUAGUGAGGAAGGCGGGGAUGACGUCAAAUCAGCACGGCCCUUACGUCCAGGGCUACACACGUGCUACAAUGGCCGAUACAGAGGGCAGCUACCUGGUGACAGGAUGCAAAUCUCCAAAGUCGGUCUCAGUUCGGAUCGGAGUCUGCAACCCGACUCCGUGAAGUUGGAUUCGCUAGUAAUCGCGCAUCAGCCAUGGCGCGGUGAAUACGUUCCCGGGCCUU